AUUGAACGCUGGCGGCAGGCUUAACACAUGCAAGUCGAACGGUAACAUGAAGAAGCCUGCUUCUUUGAUGACGAGUGGCGGACGGGUGAGUAAUGCUUGGGAAUCUAGCUUAUGGAGGGGGAUAACUACGGGAAACUGUAGCUAAUACCGCGUAGUAUCGAGAGAUAAAAGUGUGGGACCUUCGGGCCACAUGCCAUAGGAUGAGCCCAAGUGGGAUUAGGUAGUUGGUGAGGUAAAGGCUCACCAAGCCGACGAUCUCUAGCUGGUCUGAGAGGAUGACCAGCCACACUGGGACUGAGACACGGCCCAGACUCCUACGGGAGGCAGCAGUGGGGAAUAUUGCGCAAUGGGGGCAACCCUGACGCAGCCAUGCCGCGUGAAUGAAGAAGGCCUUCGGGUUGUAAAGUUCUUUCGGUAGCGAGGAAGGCACUUAGUUUAAUAAACUAGGUGAUUGACGUUAACUACAGAAGAAGCACCGGCUAACUCCGUGCCAGCAGCCGCGGUAAUACGGAGGGUGCGAGCGUUAAUCGGAAUAACUGGGCGUAAAGGGCACGCAGGCGGUGACUUAAGUGAGGUGUGGAAGCCCCGGGCUUAACCUGGGAAUUGCAUUUCAUACUGGGUCGCUAGAGUACUUUAGGGAGGGGUAGAAUUCCACGUGUAGCGGUGAAAAUGCGUAGAGAUGUGGAGGAAUACCGAAAGGCGAAGGCAGCCCCUUGGGAAUGUACUGACGCUCAUGUGCGAAAGCGUGGGGAGCAAACAGG
RNAcentral lists this ribosomal RNA (761 nucleotides) under Parahaemophilus parainfluenzae. RNAcentral's name for it is "Haemophilus parainfluenzae bacterial SSU rRNA". It matches the Rfam family "Bacterial small subunit ribosomal RNA", at positions 28 to 776 of the family's 1533-position model. The record is from RNAcentral. Lineage: Bacteria; Pseudomonadati; Pseudomonadota; Gammaproteobacteria; Pasteurellales; Pasteurellaceae.